This 159-nucleotide unclassified non-coding RNA is filed under the name uncultured Eurotiomycetes. RNAcentral describes it as "sequence contains ITS2". The record is from RNAcentral. Lineage: Eukaryota; Fungi; Ascomycota; Eurotiomycetes.
UCAACUAUCAAGCCUGGCUUGUUAUUGGACUUCUGUGGCUGAAACAUGUGGCAGGUCCGAAAAAUAAUGACGGUGUCGUGUUUGACCCUAGAUGCAACGAGCUUUUUAUAGCAAGCAUUGAAGUGGUCGACCGGCCUGGUCUCAACUAUCAAUUUCUAA